GACGAACGCUGGCGGCGUGCUUAACACAUGCAAGUCGAACGCUGAAGCUCAGCUUUUGUUGGGUGGAUGAGUGGCGAACGGGUGAGUAACACGUGAGUAACCUGCCCUCUUCUUUGGGAUAACGUCCGGAAACGGGUGCUAAUACUGGAUAUUCUCUGGCCUUCGCAUGGGGGCUGGUGGUAUGGGUUUUUCUGGUGGUGGAUGGGCUCGCGGCCUAUCAGCGUGUUGGUGGGGUGAUGGCCUACCAAGGCUUUGACGGGUAGCCGGCAUGAGAGGGUGACCGGUCACAUUGGGACUGAGAUGCGGCCCAGGCUAGUAAGGGGGGGAGCAGAGGGGAAUAUGGGACAAUGGGCGAAAGACUGAUGCAGCGACGCCGCGGGAGGGAUGGAGGCCUUCGGGUUGUGAACCUCUUUCGCUAAUGGUCAAGCCGCAACAAUGGUUGUGGUGAGGGUAGUGGGUAAAGAAGCGCCGGCUAACUACGUG
Molecule: ribosomal RNA, 483 nt
Filed under: uncultured bacterium
Lineage: Bacteria
Description: partial 16S ribosomal RNA
Rfam family: Bacterial small subunit ribosomal RNA
Source: RNAcentral